Molecule: non-coding RNA, 1285 nt
Organism: Pelobates cultripes (western spadefoot toad)
Lineage: Eukaryota; Metazoa; Chordata; Amphibia; Anura; Pelobatidae
Source: the annotation of a GenBank genome assembly
AAAUAAAUAUAAAUGCAAUUCACAAGAUAAUAAAACAAGACAAUUUACAAAAGUUAAACAUCAAUUUUUUUUUCUUAUUUUUUUUAAUAAUUCUUUGAUUCAUAACCUGGUUUACUCUAAAAUAACAGUCUGAGCUGAAUAAGAAGUUAGAACCCAAUAAAAUGAACACUAUGUAUAGGCCUGUCACAAUUGUGGAUUUGUUUCUAAACAUUGUAACGUCUUAAUAUUAAUGGGCCCGUGCUUGAUCUUGAGACCGCAUGUAACCAUCAUAUUCAAAAUGACCUUGUAUUACUUAAACCGGAUUGGUCACUUUCAUAUUUUGCAAAGACUCACGUAGAUGACGUCUCUGAUAAGUGUCUGGUGGCAAUGGGGUGCAGUGUUUAAGGUAGAUGUAGUCCCUCGUGGUGACACUUUAGUCUUCCUGCAGACCACCCGCAAGACUGUGGAAGCCUCCCGAGAUCAGGAGCUUCCAAUGAGUGAGAUGAUGCCAGAAUCUCCAUCUGUUGUGAUGGUUGCUGGGACUGCACAAGAUUGACAGCAGGAUUUUCAACUUUUGUCAACCUCAGGCUUGUCCAAAAGAUGUUCUUUAUAAAAUACUCAGGAGUGACAGAGCCACUUUAAAGAGCUUGUUUUUUUUUUUUAUCAUCCUUAAAGUUCUUUCUCGAUAUGAGAUGGUGGCAUAAUGUCGAAAAGGCCAGAGCUGGGUCUAGCAGCCUCCAUCUGGAAGGUCUUUCUCAUUACCUAACCUGACCUAUGUGACAUGUUAGACCUAUCUCCUGUGCGCAUCCUUUAAAGUUACUUGAAACAGCAGCCUCCCCAGGGAACAUAUUAAUUAGCUCAAUACUUUUUAAUUAGCAUUAUUUCCGAUUACACUAGACACAUCUGGUUAAUCCCCAGCUAUUUAUUGAGAAAACAUUUAAAGUUUCAGGUUUGGAUCCAAGCCUUCGUAUUUCUGGGGAAAGAGGGCUUCAUGCGGUUUGGUUUUUUGUGUAGUUAAUUAAUGGGCUGGACAUCUCUUAUUAUAUAUUUUAAUAAGUAUAUUAUUAAUUAUUAAGUUAUGGAAAUAUUCGUUCAUGAUGGUUUUCAGGAUUACCUUUAAUUUGCUAUAAAAAUCCUGCUGCCUUUCCCCCGAUUCUGGUUCUAUGAACUUUGCCCAUAUUUGUCAUAUUUUCCUGACAGGUUUUAGUUAGCUAUUUAUCUAUAUUUAAAUAGAUCAAAUGUUUUUUGUUUCUCUUUGUAAGCUGUUUAUUAAAAAAAAAUAUAUGUUUCUUUAAAAAAAAAAAAA